RNAcentral lists this small nucleolar RNA (138 nucleotides) under Ornithorhynchus anatinus (platypus). The record is from RNAcentral. Lineage: Eukaryota; Metazoa; Chordata; Mammalia; Monotremata; Ornithorhynchidae.
ACCCUCUCAGGGUCGCACCUGUAGAGUUUCCAGUACUCUACCAGUCUUGACUAUGGGAGGGAGAGUCAAGCAGAGGCAUACCCCUUCCAUUCCUAGCUUCGCCAGUGGCUAGCGAGUGGAAGGCAACCUGCUACAAGU